UUUAUAAGUAAAAAUUAAAAACUAAAAAUCAGUGCCGCUUAAGAGUAAGUAAGAAGAAAUUUAUUGGUUUAUUCCUUAUGCACGUAGCCUUUCUCUUUCCGCGUGAUUUUUUGAGUUGAAAUUUCAAAGGCUAAUCGUUAUUUGCGGCGUAAAUAUUCGCUUUU
Rhagoletis zephyria (snowberry fruit fly) is the source of this 164-nucleotide long non-coding RNA. RefSeq lists it as uncharacterized. Lineage: Eukaryota; Metazoa; Arthropoda; Insecta; Diptera; Tephritidae. The record is from RefSeq and is a predicted model, not a curated record.